This is a long non-coding RNA of Pongo pygmaeus (Bornean orangutan), 755 nucleotides long. RefSeq lists it as uncharacterized. Lineage: Eukaryota; Metazoa; Chordata; Mammalia; Primates; Hominidae. The record is from RefSeq and is a predicted model, not a curated record. The transcript has 3 exons.
GUCCCAAGGCCCCAGAGCUGGAGCAGCCCAGGACCCGAAUGAAGCUGGCUCAGUGGGUGUGUCUCAUUCAUGUCAGGGCUGGAGAAAAGAGCCACAUACUGCGAGGCUCCUGCCCCCUCUGGCACUGGGCACCAGUCCAGAGCCCAGAGCGGUCCCCCCGUGAAGAAGGACACAUCCCAGCGCUCUGGAUGUGCUGUGAUCGAGCUAAAUCUAGAGAAAAAUCAAAGAUGGGAUGAAGAAAGGAAUUAAUGAAAGAAUCAGAAAAAAGGGCGGAUGUGCAAUCUUCACCUGUUUAUUCGGUAGAGGGUGCCAUCUUCAGGUAGCCCUUCACGUUGUACAGAAAACAAUGGAGACUUCUCCUCCUGGGGCAGUGGUGUCACCUUUCCUAAACUUCAGAGAUGUUGCUUCAACUUACAGCUCAGAUAACAAGUGCCACUUCCAGGCUAAAGGAAUCCAUUCAGCAAACUCCCAGUAUGAAUGUUUCUGCUCUCGGCUGGAGAAACAGAAGAAGCAUUAAUGAAGGAGGAGAGGGAUUCUAGAGCAGCACAGUCUAAUACAACUUUCUGUGGGGAUGGAAAUGAUCCAUUAUCUGUGCUGCCCAAUAUGCCAGAUGCUAGCUCCAAUUAGCUACUGAGCACUUAAAAUGUGACUAGCACAGCUGAGAAACAGCCUUUCAUUUUAUUUCACUUUAAUUAAAGAGUUCUAGAGCUCCUGCCUCUAGAGCAGUGCUUUUUAGUAAUGAAUGUCAUCACGGU